RNAcentral lists this ribosomal RNA (122 nucleotides) under Oryzias latipes (Japanese medaka). The record is from RNAcentral. Lineage: Eukaryota; Metazoa; Chordata; Actinopteri; Beloniformes; Adrianichthyidae.
GCUUACGGCCACACCACCCUGAACACGCCCGAUCUCGUCCGAUCUCGGAAGCUAAGCAGGGUCGGGCCUGGUUAGUACUUGGAUGGGAGACCGCCUGGGAAUACCAGGUGCUGUAAGUUUUC